RNAcentral lists this long non-coding RNA (469 nucleotides) under Mytilus galloprovincialis (Mediterranean mussel). Lineage: Eukaryota; Metazoa; Mollusca; Bivalvia; Mytilida; Mytilidae. The record is from RNAcentral.
AAAACAAGAAUGUGUCCAUAGUACACGGAUGCCCCACUCGCGCUAUCAUUUUCUAUGUUCAGUGGACCUUGAAAUUGGGGUCAAAAUUAUAAUUUGGAAUAAUAAUUAGAAAGAUCAUAUCAUAGGGAACAUGUGUACUAAGUUUCAAGUUGAUGUAACUUUAACUUCAUCAAAAACUACCUUGACCAAAAACUUUAACCUGAACUUCGCACUAUCAUUUUCUAUGUUCAGUGGACCAUGAAAUUGGGGUCAAAACUAUAAAUUGGCGUUAAAAUUAGAAAGAUCAUAUCAUGGGGAACAUGUGUACUAAGUUUCAAGUUGAUUAAACUUCAACUUCUUCAAAAACUACCUUGACCAAAAACUUUAACCUGAAGCGAACGGACGCACAGACGGACGAACGAACGGAGGCACAGACCAGAAAACAUAAUGCCCCUCUACUAUCGUAGGUGGGGCAUAAAAAUACAAUAUU